RNAcentral lists this ribosomal RNA (513 nucleotides) under uncultured Entrophospora. Its description in RNAcentral is "SSU rRNA". It matches the Rfam family "Eukaryotic small subunit ribosomal RNA", at positions 569 to 1077 of the family's 1831-position model. Lineage: Eukaryota; Fungi; Glomeromycota; Glomeromycetes; Entrophosporales; Entrophosporaceae. The record is from RNAcentral.
AGCAGCCGCGGUAAUUCCAGCUCCAAUAGCGUAUAUUAAAGUUGUUGCAGUUAAAAAGCUCGUAGUUGAAUUUCGGGAUUGACACAUCGGUCGUGCCUUAAGGGGUAUGAACUGGUGUAGUCAAUUUCUCACCUUCUGGAGAACCGCGAUGCCCUUAAUUGGGUGUCGCGGGGAACCAGGACCUUUACUUUGAAAAAAUUAGAGUGUUUAAAGCAGGCAUUUUGCUUGAAUACAUUAGCAUGGAAUAAUAAAAUAGGACGGCAUGAUUCUAUUUUGUUGGUUUCUAGGAUCACCGUAAUGAUUAAUAGGGAUAGUUGGGGGCAUUAGUAUUCAAUUGUCAGAGGUGAAAUUCUUGGAUUUAUUGAAGACUAACUACUGCGAAAGCAUUUGCCAAGGAUGUUUUCAUUAAUCAAGAACGAAAGUUAGGGGAUCGAAGACGAUCAGAUACCGUCGUAGUCUUAACCAUAAACUAUGCCGACUAGGAAUCAGACGAUGUUAAUUUUUAAUGUACUC